UGCCUUACACAUGCAAGUCGAACGGCAGCACGGGGGCAACCCUGGUGGCGAGUGGCGAACGGGUGAGUAAUGCAUCGGAAUGUACCCAGUAGUGGGGGAUAACUAGUCGAAAGACUGGCUAAUACCGCAUACGCACUACGGUGGAAAGCGGGGGAUCGCAAGACCUCGCGCUAUUGGAGCAGCCGAUGUCCGAUUAGGUAGUUGGUGGGGUAAAAGCCUACCAAGCCUGCGAUCGGUAACUGGUCUGAGAGGACGACCAGUCACACUGGGACUGAGACACGGCCCAGACUCCUACGGGAGGCAGCAGUGGGGAAUUUUGGACAAUGGGCGAAAGCCUGUUCCAGCAAUGCCGCGUGUGUGAAGAAGGCCUUCGGGUUGU
RNAcentral lists this ribosomal RNA (379 nucleotides) under uncultured organism. Its description in RNAcentral is "bacterial SSU rRNA". It matches the Rfam family "Bacterial small subunit ribosomal RNA", at positions 45 to 426 of the family's 1533-position model. The record is from RNAcentral.